RNAcentral lists this ribosomal RNA (253 nucleotides) under uncultured bacterium. Its description in RNAcentral is "partial 16S ribosomal RNA". It matches the Rfam family "Bacterial small subunit ribosomal RNA", at positions 524 to 776 of the family's 1533-position model. The record is from RNAcentral.
UACGUAGGGACCAAGCGUUGUUCGGAUUUACUGGGCGUAAAGGGCGCGUAGGCGGCCUACUAAGUCGGACGUGAAAUCCCUCGGCUCAACCGGGGAACUGCGUCCGAUACUGGUGGGCUCGAAUCCGGGAGAGGGAUGUGGAAUUCCAGGUGUAGCGGUGAAAUGCGUAGAUAUCUGGAGGAACACCGGUGGCGAAGGCGGCAUCCUGGACCGGUAUUGACGCUGAUGCGCGAAAGCCAGGGGAGCAAACGGG